RNAcentral lists this long non-coding RNA (1563 nucleotides) under Fragaria vesca (wild strawberry). Its description in RNAcentral is "long non-coding RNA (FVES_LNC002545)". The record is from RNAcentral. Lineage: Eukaryota; Viridiplantae; Streptophyta; Magnoliopsida; Rosales; Rosaceae.
AAAUGCUAGUGCAGAUUUUCGUAGAGAUCGAAGAUCUAAUGAGAUUAUUUUAUCACCGUCUAAGGAAACCUUGCAACGUUAAUUUCACCAGUAAUGUUAGCUUCGUUGGUGCUUUCCAUUCCCCAUCCAGUAAUACUACCAGCUGAUGUUGUCACAUUAGCCCCAUAAUAUUGAGAUAGCAUCCCAAAGUACCCCAUCUGAUUUCCAAUAUUCCCAGUAAUUUUAUUUCUAAAAUAUUUCACAUGAGGUAACCCCACACCUCCACCUCCGUUACCUCCAAGAUUUUUGAGGUUACCAUUGUAUGGUACCAUAUUAGGCACCCAUCAACGUUGAUGCUACUUGCAAUGUUAUUUACUCUAUACUAAAACGCGUACAGCCCUAUCACUGUUCAUAAAGACCCCUACGAACUUACAUGUUCGUCCCGUUUUCCCGUUUAUUCACGGUUUUGCCCACUUCUGCUCUUUUUCCGCCUCAUUCUUAUCUUCGUUUGAAUGAGGGCAAAAUAUCUAGCUCAAAGUGCUUUCCCGUGCUGGGCCAUUAAAAAAGCAAAGUUAUACAUUUAUAAUAAUAUAUGCUAAUCCUUAUUUCAUGAAAAGAAGACAACUCUUUAACGUUAGUGUUUAUCCAAGCACACGUCUCCCAAAAUGUUCUCUUCCACCGCCUGUGUUGAUCAUAUCCCUUCCAUCGUCUGUCCACCGAUUGCACCAACCAAUCCCGAAAGAGUGUUAAACGGUUCCAUUUAACAAAACCUUCCUUCCCUCCUUUUCCUUUUCCUCUACAACCACACAGUUCUUGGAUUCUCGGACAUAUAUCUCAGCGCUCCGAAUCAGGUGAGGUAUUCACAUGUCCAUUUGCAAGAUUUGUUUUUUCUUUAUAUACAACAUGUCGCCCUACUUUGGCGAUCUGAUUCGAUCUGCUCUUUUGUUGGUUUCCGGCAGGAUAAAAAUCAAACCGGUUGCAAAUUCAUCGAAGCAAAGAACACAGAGGCAAUACAUUGUUCCAGUUUCAGGUAAACUUUCAUACCGAAUUUAUAUUUCAUAUUCUCACAUUGUCCAACCAAGCAGGUUAUAUACAGCCCAUAUUUUUAGGUUCUUAAUGUGUUCCGAGACUGCUGAAUAAAAAUAUUAAUGUAGGAAAAGUUCUUAAUGGUUUACUACUACAUAUUGUUUUGAAACUUUAUUCAUUGAUAUCAGCUCCGAAUGGAAUAUGCUGUGCAAGCUGGUGUUAAAAACCUUUCCCUGUCACCUUUCACUCCUCUUUGUCCUUUCUUAUGAUCUAAUCUUAGUUCACUUGCUUUAGGUUUCAUAUUCAUAAUUUAAGGGUUUCUUUGCUUCUAUUUCUCACAUUAUCUUCUAUUUGUGAUAUUAAUGUGGCUUCGUUUAAAUUCCUAGAAAAGAUGAACGGGAGUCGGCCAAAUAUUUAUAUCCAACUGAUGCAUUCACUUUGACAGGAAGGAAAGACGAUGGACAUAACACCGGUGAGAGAAAUGGUACCCUUCAGGUACACAUACAAAAUCAGAGUUCGUGUAUCGAGGGUCUGGAGGCCUAGGUUUCGUCGAACUGA